RNAcentral lists this ribosomal RNA (497 nucleotides) under uncultured bacterium. Its description in RNAcentral is "partial 16S ribosomal RNA". It matches the Rfam family "Bacterial small subunit ribosomal RNA", at positions 28 to 507 of the family's 1533-position model. The record is from RNAcentral.
GAUGAACGCUGGCGGCGUGCCUAAUACAUGCAAGUCGAGCGAACAGACGAGGAGCUUGCUCCUCUGACGUUAGCGGCGGACGGGUGAGUAACACGUGGAUAACCUACCUAUAAGACUGGGAUAACUUCGGGAAACCGGAGCUAAUACCGGAUAUUAUAUUGAACCGCAUGGUUCAAUAGUGAAAGACGGUUUUGCUGUCACUUAUAGAUGGAUCCGCGCCGCAUUAGCUAGUUGGUAAGGUAACGGCUUACCAAGGCAACGAUGCGUAGCCGACCUGAGAGGGUGAUCGGCCACACUGGAACUGAGACACGGUCCAGACUCCUACGGGAGGCAGCAGUAGGGAAUCUUCCGCAAUGGGCGAAAGCUUGACGGAGCAACGCCGCGUGAGUGAUGAAGGUCUUCGGAUCGUAAAACUCUGUUAUUAGGGAAGAACAAAUGUGUAAGUAACUAUGCACGUCUUGACGGUACCUAAUCAGAAAGCCACGGCUAACUACGUG